This is a long non-coding RNA of Dromaius novaehollandiae (emu), 915 nucleotides long. RefSeq lists it as uncharacterized. NCBI's taxonomy places the organism in Eukaryota, Metazoa, Chordata, Aves, Casuariiformes, Dromaiidae. The record is from RefSeq and is a predicted model, not a curated record. The transcript has 5 exons.
CUAUCUCCUUCAAGGUGGGUCUCACAACCAAAAAACCAUGAUGCUAUCUGCUUCAGAAGAGUGGAAGAGCAGCACAAAUUCUUCUUCAUGUUCCUCUCCUGAUCCAGAGCUCCAUAACCACUGCUGCCAGUGGCAGGAAGAUUAGAUCCCAUAAUCAGAUCUCCUGAAAGAAAGGGAUGAAAGUAUCCAGGUGAACUAGUUGCAGACCCCAGACCUUUACCAGCAGCAAGACAGAUCUUCCUCCACAAACAGCUACAGGUGCCAAGGCUGCCCGCUGGGAACGUGUUGGAAGGAACUGGAUAAGCCUGUUUUUAUUCAAAAGAAAGUCUCAAGAAAUCUGGCUCAAAAUUGCUCUUCAUGGACAUCCAGCCAUCACCUCAAGCACAGGAAUUGGUGAAAUCUAGUCGAGCGUCUUAAAACAAAAUCUCUAUUAUACACCAUGAGGAGUGCGUCAGAAAAAAAGAGCUUGACUUCCACAUCCCUGCCUGAUUUGCAAAGUUAUAACCACAAGAUGAGGAAAAAUACUAUGAUGAAUAUUAGAGAAACUCAGAAGACAAGUGAGCUACAAUGUUUGAUUUCAGGCAUUUAAGAUUAUGGAUGGAACCCCUACUGUCUUUAAUCAAGCAAAGCAUGUGAAAUUGGUUACUGUGAAAAGCACUGUAGGAAAAGGAAGUUGUUUUUGUGUAGAUUAACAACAAAAAAAAAAUCCCACACAAUUCUCUGCUCAGAUUUUGCCACGGUAAAGGAUAUACCUGUGCCUUUUCAAAAGAAUUCAACAUGUACUAUAUCACUUAUAAUCUGGUCUCAUAUUAAAAAUGACAAGAUACACUGAUAGAAAAAAAUUGUUUUAAUUGCUAGCAUAUGUUAUCAGAAAUUCAUUUGGUUAUUUUUAAGCAUUAAAGCAUUACUCAGUCA